GACGAACGCUGGCGGCGUGCUUAACACAUGCAAGUCGAACGGUGAAGCGCCUUCCUUUUUGGUGGGUGUGGAUGAGUGGCGAACGGGUGAGUAACACGUGAGUAACCUGCCCCCUUCUUCUGGAUAACCGCAUGAAAGUGUGGCUAAUACGGGAUAUUCUGGUUCUGUCGCAUGAUGGGUCUGGGAAAGAUGUUGUUUCGGUGGGGGAUGGGCUCGCGGCCUAUCAGCUUGUUGGUGGGGUGAUGGCCUACCAAGGCGGUGACGGGUAGCCGGCCUGAGAGGGUGGACGGUCACACUGGGACUGAGACACGGCCCAGACUCCUACGGGAGGCAGCAGUGGGGAAUAUUGCACAGUGGGCGCAAGCCUGAUGCAGCGACGCCGCGGGAGGGAUGGAGGCCUGCGGGUUGUGAACCUCUUUCGCCAGUGAAGCAGGCCUGCCUCGUUUGUGGGUGGGUUGACGGUAGCUGGAGAAGAAGCGCCGGCUAACUACGUG
RNAcentral lists this ribosomal RNA (494 nucleotides) under uncultured bacterium. Its description in RNAcentral is "partial 16S ribosomal RNA". It matches the Rfam family "Bacterial small subunit ribosomal RNA", at positions 28 to 507 of the family's 1533-position model. The record is from RNAcentral.